GGAGAGGUGCCGGAGUGGUCGAUCGGGGCGGUCUCGAAAACCGUUGUACCCUAUGGGUACCGUGGGUUCGAAUCCCACCCUCUCCGCCA
RNAcentral lists this transfer RNA (89 nucleotides) under Verrucomicrobiota bacterium. Its description in RNAcentral is "Verrucomicrobia bacterium (fermentation metagenome) tRNA-Ser". It matches the Rfam family "tRNA". Rfam says of the family: Transfer RNA (tRNA) molecules are approximately 80 nucleotides in length. Their secondary structure includes four short double-helical elements and three loops (D, anti-codon, and T loops). Further hydrogen bonds mediate the characteristic L-shaped molecular structure. tRNAs have two regions of fundamental functional importance: the anti-codon, which is responsible for specific mRNA codon recognition, and the 3' end, to which the tRNAs corresponding amino acid is attached (by aminoacyl-tRNA synthetases). tRNAs cope with the degeneracy of the genetic code in two manners: having more than one tRNA (with a specific anti-codon) for a particular amino acid; and 'wobble' base-pairing, i.e. permitting non-standard base-pairing at the 3rd anti-codon position. The record is from RNAcentral. Lineage: Bacteria; Pseudomonadati; Verrucomicrobiota.